RNAcentral lists this long non-coding RNA (451 nucleotides) under Mytilus galloprovincialis (Mediterranean mussel). The record is from RNAcentral. Lineage: Eukaryota; Metazoa; Mollusca; Bivalvia; Mytilida; Mytilidae.
CCCCAGUGAAAGAUGGCAGCCCCCCGAUAUUCAAGAUCAUUAACGUUUUGGAGGGAAAGGGGAGACAACCCGACAGUGAAGCGAUUCUUCCCCCUUUUCCUGCAUUACAGAUGGUGGAGCAAGAGGAAAGAUUCUUGGUACCUCAAAAUUUAAAAACCUGCGUUUGGAGACCUCAAAUUUUCAAAGAACCAGUCUAAAGUGAACUUACUUAAGAAAUCUAUAAGGAGUUUUUGGACAAGAAAUGUGUUAUAAACCGAAAAAUUGGAAUUUUCUAAGUUUGAACCUGGAACAUUAUACCUGUUUUUUUUGGAUAAGCUUUUCGGAACCUAUCGUUAUUCAAAGUUGUGGAGAAGACAUGAAGAAAAAUCGGAACAAUACAGAAACUGGACUAAAAACAAAAUUAUCGGACCAUUGUGAUUAUGUUUUCAAAAUAUUGUGUGAAUUGAUAAUG